CCUACGGGAGGCAGCAGUGAGGAAUAUUGGUCAAUGGGCGGGAGCCUGAACCAGCCAAGCCGCGUGAGGGAAGAAGGUACAGCGUAUCGUAAACCUCUUUUGUCAGGGAACAAAGGCGGGGACUAGUCCCCGGAUGAGGGUACCUGAAGAAAAAGCAUCGGCUAACUCCGUUCCAGCAGCCGCGGUAAUACGGGGGAUGCGAGCGUUAUCCGGAUUUAUUGGGUUUAAAGGGUGCGCAGGCGGCCUGUUAAGUCAGCGGUAAAAGGCCGGGGCCCAACCCCGGCGCGCCGUUGAAACUGGGGGGCUGGAGUUGGAGAGAAGUACGCGGAAUGCGCGGUGUAGCGGUGAAAUGCUUAGAUAUCGCGCAGAACCCCGAUUGCGAAGGCAGCGUACUAAGCCAUAACUGACACUGAAGCACGAAAGCGUGGGGAUCGAACAGGAUUAGAUACCCUUGUAGUC
RNAcentral lists this ribosomal RNA (459 nucleotides) under uncultured bacterium. RNAcentral's name for it is "partial 16S ribosomal RNA". It matches the Rfam family "Bacterial small subunit ribosomal RNA", at positions 338 to 795 of the family's 1533-position model. The record is from RNAcentral.